CCUACGGGUGGCAGCAGUGGGGGAUAUUGCACAAUGGAGGGAACUCUGAUGCAGCGACGCCGCGUGAAGGUCAGUGCCCUAUGGGCGUUAAACUUCUUUUGUGCGGGAGCAAUAAUGGUCACGUGUGGCCAGACGAGAGUACCGUACGAAUAAGCAUCGGCUAACUCCGUGCCAGCAGCCGCGGUAAUAAGGGGGAUGCAAGCGUUAUCCGGAUUUAUUUGGUUUAAAGGGAGCGUAGAUGGGUUGUUAAGUCAGUUGUGAAAGUUUGCGGCUCAACCGUAAAAUUGCAAUUGAUACUGGCAGUCUUGAGUACAGUUGAGGUAGGCGGAAUUCGUGGUGUAGCGGUGAAAUGCUUAGAUAUCACGAAGAACUCCGAUUGCGAAGGCAGCUUACUAAACUGCCACUGACAUUGAUGCUCGAAAGUGUGGGUAUCAAACAGGAUUAGAUACCCCUGUAGUC
This 459-nucleotide ribosomal RNA is filed under the name uncultured bacterium. RNAcentral describes it as "partial 16S ribosomal RNA". It matches the Rfam family "Bacterial small subunit ribosomal RNA", at positions 338 to 795 of the family's 1533-position model. The record is from RNAcentral.